UUGCCUGGAAGAGGAGGCGUAGGGACAGGUCUAGAGUGUGCAGUCUAUGGAUCUGGGACAAGGACCCCAACCAGGGACGCAGACUUAGAGGGGCUGGUGGAGCUUAGGGGCCGCCUCAGACAAUGAGCAGCCCCUUGCCAGCUGCUGGGGAGAUGCUCUAUGCACAAUCUCUGGCUCCUGAUCACUCUUUCUUGUUCACAUGGUGCCCUGAGGGGUGGCCUGGCAGGACACCUGGCAGGCAGCCACAGGACAGGGUGAUUACCAGUGAAUGGAGAGAGCCAGGAGAAGGCAGCUGAGGUGGCGCAGCCCCUUCUCUGCCCUCUGGGCAGGACUGUGGGAUGCUCUGCCUGAUGAACAGCCUCAACCUGCCAGCACAGAAAGAAGCCCAGCUCAGGAAUGACAGCCUGCCCCAGGGAACGGGGCUUGCAUGUGCCUGUGUUACAGCCUGCCUGCACAGGCAAGAACCAGCCUCCAUAGAAACUCUGCUGCAGGACCUUCGGCAGGCCUAUACGUAGCACAGCUGGGGACAGCCUGGUCCUGCACUCACGACCCUGAGGGAGGCCAGCCCUUAUCAGGUAGCACACAUCAGCCGGUCUGUGCAGAGGGGCCCUGGCGGCUCCAGUUUCAGGCUGCGGAUCCAGGCAGGCGGUGGUGCUGCACCAAGGCUUCUGCAGGGGAUGAGGAAGAAACUCUAUUCCUCCCUUUUUUUUUUCCCCUUUGUUCAAUGCCUGCUUAGAUUCGGUGGCUGCAGAGCAGAGGCCCCUGAGGAGAGCCAAGCAGUGAGGCAUACAGCAGCCUCCAGUCCCCUGCAUGCUCAGCACUUCGUGGCAUGCUCUGGUGUGUGUAUGCACGAUAGGUUUCUUGGUGGCUGCAUGCCUGGCAGCAAGAACAGGGGUGUCCCGGGAGUUUCUGUGCGAGUGUGUAAGAGAAAAUUGUGC
Molecule: long non-coding RNA, 938 nt
Organism: Gallus gallus (chicken)
Lineage: Eukaryota; Metazoa; Chordata; Aves; Galliformes; Phasianidae
Exons: 2
Source: RefSeq, a predicted model, not a curated record